UUGGUAUAAGUGGCUAGAGCCCCUGUUAUUUGCAGUACAAGAGGUCCUGCAAGCCUCCAUGUGGUUGUCCCUGUUCAAAUUAUUAUACCACGCAUGAACGUCAAUCCCAGCUGUAUACCGGGGUACUCAGCUACGAGAGUUCGCACCAGGAGUUAAAGUGCUUAUUUUGUUACGCACAUCAAUCUCUAAAUUACUUGCCAAGUAGCAAGGACCCUUUGAGAUCACAUGGCGAGUUGGGGAUGUUGACUAUCAGGUAAGGCAAAUGGAUAGAGGCGGGGCAUGGCAGGAUUAUCACUUAACCUCCUCCAACCGUGGAGGAAGAUGGUUCCCAUGGCUUUGGUGAUGGUCAUCUCAGAGAGGGAGGAGCUAGGACCGGAGGUGAAUCUAAAAACGGCAGCUCAAUCCACCCCGGCCCCUUAUGAAGACCACCUCUCCACUUCCCAUGUCACGGACAUUUCUAAACUGCAUGUAGAAUUUUCCAAUGUGUUCUCGCCGCUCCCCGGUAGUACUAAUCUCAUAGAGCACCACAUAGAGACAACCCUAGGGGUGGUGGGACGCAGCCGCCCCUACCGGCUGCCUGAACACAAAAAAAAUGUGGUUGGGGAGGAACUUGAGGCUAUGCUUGACAUGGGGUAAUCAAAGAGUCCCACAGUGACUGGAGCAGCCUGGUGUUUUUGGUGCCCAAAACCAACAGGAUGGUCCAAUUUUGUGUGAACUUUAUGAAAGUCAAUGCAGUGUGCAAAUUCGACGCAUACUCAAUGCCUCGCAUUGAAAAACUGCUCGAUCGUCUAGGCGUGGCUUGCUUUUAUUCUACACUGGAUUUGAAAAAGAGAUAUUGGCAGAUCCCCUUGAAUACAAUAUCUUGCAAAAAAAUGGCCUUUUCCACUCCGUUUGGGUUACACCAAUUUGUGACACGUCCUUUUGGGUUGUUCUGGGCUCCAGCCACUUUCCAGCGACUCACGAACGGAAUCCACCGUUCACAUGCUGCUUAUGCUGCUGCCUAUUUAGAUGAUACUAUUAUUUACAGUAAUGAUUGGCAGCAGCACAUGCAGCAUCUGAAGGCUGUUCUGAGAUUGCUGAGAUGGGCGGGACUCACGUUGAACCCAAAGAAGUGUGCGAUUGGACAGGUGAUAUGAUCCAAAUUGAUAAGACAGUAGCAAUUAUGGCCUGCCCAAGACCCAAGACCAAAAAGGAGGUGAGACAGUUUCUGGUGCUGGCUGGCUAUUAUCAAAGGUUUGUGCCUAAUUAUUCGGACGUCACCAGCCCACUGACUGAUCUCACUAAAAAGGGAGCACCAGAUCUGGUCCAGUGGACGGAGCCGUGACAGCAGGCUGUCACUCAGGUAAAAGCUGCACUCUGUGACAAUCCACUCUUACAUUCUCCUGACUUCCCUCUCCUUUUUGUUUUACAGACAGAUGUGUGGCGGAGGGGAAUAUGCCACUGCCUUGUGGGGGAAAUAUUAAGCACUUAACUAAGGAAGACUGAGUGCUACAGAUGAGGUGAGGUGGGCCCUGGAGCAUGUGCAGAUAACCUAUAAGAGCUUAGAAGAUAAGAGCUUUUGACUGCAAAACCCAUCCUCCCCUAGAUCUAACAAGACAGGAAGAAUAAAAGAAUGAAAUCAAAUAUAGACAACAAUAAAGAAAAUAUCAACAAUUUGUGACUGUUUCUAUUGAACCUUGAACAACAAUCAGUGUGCCUCUUUUACCACACUGGUAAGUUUCACAUUCACAGUCAGUUUGAUUUAAUCAGUUCACUUCAGUUCAGCUCAAAAUUUGAAAAGUUCACUUCAAAAAUCCAGGAAAAUAAUACUCGGUCCGUUCAUGUGCCAGAAUGUCCAUAGACUUGCAAAAGAAAGUAUAUGAAUCACUCUGCAGAGAAAUUCACAGGUCACAGUUCCACGCAUGAGUGUUGUUCUUUUAAAAGCACCGUUCAGUCUUUAUACUCAUUGAAAAGAAAAGAUUACUUGCUUACCAGCGUUCAGUGGAAAAUGAAGAAAAUAAUGUAUAUCACCACAUCACUACAUCAUGGGCAGAGCGCUGAAAGGUGUCCGUAUAGGCAGGGUAGUGUUCCUUCACUCUAUGAUCCCCAACGAUUGCCCCCGUGAUCCUGAAGACUACCACUCGAUCCUACGAGGCCGCAAUCCUGUCUAACGGAGAUCAGCCCGAUAACACGAACAAUAUACUGUCCCAUCCAACAAAUCAGCCAACUCUCCUCGCAAAAAUAAGCAACGGCAUCCACCACGUUUUGAGUUCGUUUGAACUAACAAAAACAAAAAUCUGGAUGCAAAACACACACAAAAAAAACACAGGAGUAUUCAACCCCAACGCUAAAUAACUUAAUAAACUCUAACAGCCUAUCGCCCAGCUUCACACACGAGCACGAUGGAAAACUUGUUACGCCACUAUUAAUAUCUGGCUUGUUAAGACAAACAGAAACUUAGAAGCAACGUCAUGCGGCUCUAAUGCAUGUCAUCAGUCUAAACGUAACUUUUUAAUGUAAUAAAAAGUUCGAAAAUUGUCACAUCCUUCAUCAGCUCGCCGCUGCUCCUCUCGCUCUUUUUCUCUCCCGCCUGUGCGAUCGUCACACACCUGAGAAAGAAAAUGGCAGCGCCCGUGUCAAAUUUCAAAAUAAAAGCUUUUGCGAAAUAGAACUUGUAGAUCCCCUACAGACGCAUCAGACUGGGGGUUGGGGCUGUGUUGUCCCAGGUAGUGCAGGGGGAGGAGCGCCCUAUGCUGUACAUCAGCCGCAAGCCCCCCGUGUGAGAGACUAAGUACAGCAUGAUAGAAGCAUGAUAGGCGGUGGGGUAUGUGGAAGUGGGGGCGUGCUAAGGCACUGGUUUUUGAAUGGAGGGCGGAGCCAGAGAAGGUGAGUGGUGAGGAAUGCACACCUGUGUGAAAUUCUAUUAAUGAGUGUUUUGUGUUUCAUUGAGUGGAGGCAAGGAUAAAAAGGUGAGAGAUGAGUACCUCGAGAGAGAGAGCAACCCGCACAGAGCCGUGUGUGUGCAUGUGUUUGUGUGUGUAUUGGGGAAAAUAAAACCACUGAAAAGUGAACGAAAAGACACUGAAAAGACACAGAAUAAAGUGCCUCUUGAGUUGUUCCCAAGCCUGCCCCCCACUUCCUCAUUUCUGCCCAAACUUCAGAGAGUGUCUCACAAACACACACAUUAUGGAUAUAAUAUAUUAGACCUCCUAAUACUUAACAACUUUGUCUCAAGAACCACUGGUCAAAUCAUUAAAUAUUUGUGACUAUUUAAAAAACUAUUCCUACAUUUUUCACUCAACCUCAACCUCAGGGAAAGUAUAUUUCCCUGGACUGUAUUUUCUGGAUUCCCUGUGUCAAUAAUUAUGAAAAAAAUGUUGAAAUUUAGUCUUUGUAUGGUUAUAACAGGGUCAUUUAUAAAUAUGGGCAUGAAGAACCGUACCCAAAAGCCUAUAAUUCCUAAACAAAACCUCAAAACUUCAUGAAAUUAGGUAAGAACAUGCAUCUUAUGAUUCUAAAGACGCAUGCAAAAUUGUAGAGAUACUUGUUUUUAUCUCCAAUUUAAGUGCUUACAGGC
Molecule: long non-coding RNA, 3556 nt
Organism: Pangasianodon hypophthalmus (striped catfish)
Lineage: Eukaryota; Metazoa; Chordata; Actinopteri; Siluriformes; Pangasiidae
Exons: 3
Source: RefSeq, a predicted model, not a curated record